This 459-nucleotide ribosomal RNA is filed under the name uncultured bacterium. RNAcentral describes it as "partial 16S ribosomal RNA". It matches the Rfam family "Bacterial small subunit ribosomal RNA", at positions 339 to 795 of the family's 1533-position model. The record is from RNAcentral.
CUACGGGUUGCAGCAGUAAGGAAUAUUGCGCAAUGGAGGCAACUCUGACGCAGCCAUGCCGCGUGCAGGAAGAAGGCCUUAUGGGUCGUAAACUGCUUUUAUUUAGGAAUAAACCCCCGAACGUGUUCGGGGCUGAAGGUACUAAACGAAUAAGCACCGGCUAACUCCGUGCCAGCAGCCGCGGUAAUACGGAGGGUGCAAGCGUUAUCCGGAUUUAUUGGGUUUAAAGGGUGCGCAGGCGGGCUAUUAAGUCAGUGGUGAAAUCCCGGGGCUCAACUCCGGAACUGCCAUUGAUACUGAUAGUCUUGAGUUUGGUUGAAGUGGGCGGAAUGUAGCAUGUAGCGGUGAAAUGCAUAGAUAUGUUACAGAACACCAAUCGCGAAGGCAGCUCACUAAGCCAAAACUGACGCUCAUGCACGAAAGCGUGGGGAUCAAACAGGAUUAGAUACCCCCGUAGUC